CCUACGGGUGGCUGCAGUGAGGAAUAUUGGUCAAUGGGCGUAAGCCUGAACCAGCCAAGUCGCGUGAGGGAUGAAGGUUCUAUGGAUCGUAAACCUCUUUUAUAAGGGAAUAAAGUGCGGGACGUGUCCCGUUUUGUAUGUACCUUAUGAAUAAGGAUCGGCUAACUCCGUGCCAGCAGCCGCGGUAAUACGGAGGAUCCGAGCGUUAUCCGGAUUUAUUGGGUUUAAAGGGUGCGUAGGCGGCCUUUUAAGUCAGCGGUGAAAGUCUGUGGGUCAACCAUAGAAUUGCCGUUGAAACUGGGAGGCUUGAGUUGGCGAGAAGUACGCGGAAUGCGCGGUGUAGCGGUGAAAUGCAUAGAUAUCGCGCAGAACUCCGAUUGCGAAGGCAGCGUACCGGCGCCAGACUGACGCUGAGGCACGAAAGCGUGGGGAUCGAACAGGAUUAGAUACCCCAGUAGUC
RNAcentral lists this ribosomal RNA (460 nucleotides) under uncultured bacterium. Its description in RNAcentral is "partial 16S ribosomal RNA". It matches the Rfam family "Bacterial small subunit ribosomal RNA", at positions 338 to 795 of the family's 1533-position model. The record is from RNAcentral.